UUGAUGUCAUGCUAGCUUUGAAGAACAAUCCUACAGGUACUCACCAGCAAUUAGCGGAGACCAUUGACCGAUCAAUCACCAAAGCAAUUAUCCUGGACAUGAUUUUCGGAGCCAUCGAUACCUCCCAAACUGCGAUUGAAUGGAUCAUGUCAGAACUCAUCCGACAUCCAAGAGUGAUGAAACGACUUCAAGAAGAAAUUAGUAUCGUAGUAGAUUGCGAACUUGUGGAAGAAUCACAUCUGGAAAAACUUGAUUACCUAGACAUGGUGGUCAAGGAAACCUUCAGACUCCAUCCAAGAAGUUAGAAGCAAGUUAAAACUUAUAAGUGAUAAAAGUGUUUGGGAAAUAAGUAGAAGCCAAGUAAUCGUAGGUUUUUUUAAGUACUUCUUGACUUUUUACACAAACGGUACAAAUAAGUGCUUCUAAAUUAUAAUUCAGAAGCCGGGCUUAUAAGUCUUUGCCAAACACCCACUUAAUUAUCAGAGACCCUGAUCUUUAAAUCUUUAAUGUAAUUGUUGUUAUCAGGGAUUAACUCGACGUUCCAGAGUUACUGCUAAGGCAUUUGAUAAAAUCCUGGAAACGAUCAUCGAUGAUCAUGAAGAAAAAGCUAGAAAUGACGAUACAAAGCUUGAUAGGGAUUUUGUUGAUGUCAUGCUAGCUUUGAAGAACAAUCCUACAGGUACUCACCAGCAAUUAGCGGAGACCAUUGACCGAUCAAUCACCAAAGCAAUUAUCCUGGACAUGAUUUUCGGAGCCAUCGAUACCUCCCAAACUGCGAUUGAAUGGAUCAUGUCAGAACUCAUCCGACAUCCAAGAGUGAUGAAACGACUUCAAGAAGAAAUUAGUAUCGUAGUAGAUUGCGAACUUGUGGAAGAAUCACAUCUGGAAAAACUUGAUUAC
Molecule: long non-coding RNA, 900 nt
Filed under: Daucus carota (carrot)
Lineage: Eukaryota; Viridiplantae; Streptophyta; Magnoliopsida; Apiales; Apiaceae
Description: long non-coding RNA (DCAR_LNC004637)
Source: RNAcentral